This 442-nucleotide ribosomal RNA is filed under the name uncultured bacterium. RNAcentral describes it as "partial 16S ribosomal RNA". It matches the Rfam family "Bacterial small subunit ribosomal RNA", at positions 338 to 795 of the family's 1533-position model. The record is from RNAcentral.
CCUACGGGAGACAGCAGUGGGGAAUAUUGCGCAAUGGGCGAAAGCCUGACGCAGCGACGCCGCGUGAGGGAUGAAGGCUUUCGGGUUGUAAGCUUCUUUUGUCAGGGAAGAGUAGAAGACGGUACCUGACGAAUAAGCCACGGCUAACUACGUGCCAGCAGCCGCGGUAAUACGUAGGUGGCAAGCGUUGUCCGGAUUUACUGGGUGUAAAGGGCGUGUAGCCGGGUUGACAAGUCAGAUGUGAAAUCCUGCGGCUUAACCGCAGAACUGCAUUUGAAACUGUUGAUCUUGAGUACUGGAGAGGCAGAUGGAAUUCCUAGUGUAGCGGUGAAAUGCGUAGAUAUUAGGAGGAACACCAGUGGCGAAGGCGGUCUGCUGGACAGCAACUGACGGUGAGGCGCGAAAGCGUGGGGAGCAAACAGGAUUAGAUACCCUAGUAGUC